AGUGAACGCUGGCGGUAGGCCUAACACAUGCAAGUCGAACGGCAGCACAGGAGAGCUUGCUCUCUGGGUGGCGAGUGGCGGACGGGUGAGGAAUACAUCGGAAUCUACUCUGUCGUGGGGGAUAACGUAGGGAAACUUACGCUAAUACCGCAUACGACCUACGGGGGAAAGCAGGGGAUCUUCGGACCUUGCGCGAUUGAAUGAGCCGAUGUAGGAUUAGCUAGUUGGCGGGGUAAAGGCCCACCAAGGCGACGAUCCGUAGCUGGUCUGAGAGGAUGAUCAGCCACACUGGAACUGAGACCCGGUCCAGACUCCUACGGGAGGCAGCAGUGGGGAAUAUUGGACAAUGGGCGCAAGCCUGAUCCAGCCAUACCGCGUGGGUGAAGAAGGCCUUCGGGUUGUAAAGCCCUUUUGUUGGAAAGAAAUCCAGCUGGCUAAUACCCGGUUGGGAUGACGGUACCCAAAGAAUAAGCACCGGCUAACUUCGUGCCAGCCGCCGCGGUAA
This 505-nucleotide ribosomal RNA is filed under the name uncultured bacterium. Its description in RNAcentral is "partial 16S ribosomal RNA". It matches the Rfam family "Bacterial small subunit ribosomal RNA", at positions 29 to 523 of the family's 1533-position model. The record is from RNAcentral.